GACGAACGCUGGCGGCGUGCCUAAUACAUGCAAGUAGAACGCUUCAGGAGUAGCUUGCUUCUCCGGAUGAGUUGCGAACGGGUGAGUAACGCGUAGGUAACCUGCCUGGUAGCGUGGGAUAACUAUUGGAAACGAUAGCUAAUACCGCAUAACAGUAGAUGUUGCAUUACAUUUGCUUAAAAGGUGCAAUUACAUCACUACCAGAUGGACCUUGGUUGUAUUAGCUAGUUUGUGAGGUAACGGCUCACCAAGGCGACGAUACAUAGGCGACCUUAGAGGGGGAUCGGCCAACACGGGGACGAGACACGGCCCAGACUCCUACGGGAGGGAGCAGUAGGGAAUGUUGCGCAAAGGACGGAAAGUUGAACCAGGAACGGCGGGUGAGGGAAGAAGGUUUUCGGGUCGUAAAGACCUGUUGUAAGAGAAGAACGAGUGUGGGUAGGGAAAGAUCACACUGUGACGGUAUCUUACCAGAAAGGGACGGCUAACUACGUG
Molecule: ribosomal RNA, 495 nt
Filed under: uncultured bacterium
Lineage: Bacteria
Description: partial 16S ribosomal RNA
Rfam family: Bacterial small subunit ribosomal RNA
Source: RNAcentral